This 45-nucleotide non-coding RNA is filed under the name Schistosoma haematobium. Lineage: Eukaryota; Metazoa; Platyhelminthes; Trematoda; Strigeidida; Schistosomatidae. The record is from RNAcentral.
AUCCGACUGACGAGUCCCAAACACGGUGAAACGCGCGUCCUGGAU